AAUCUGCAAGUCGAGCGAACAGAUGAGGAGCUUGCUCCUUUGAUGUUAGCGGCGGACGGGUGAGUAACACGUGGGUAACCUACCUAUAAGACUGGGAUAACUUCGGGAAACCGGAGCUAAUACCGGAUAAUAUUUCGAACCGCAUGGUUCGAUAGUGAAAGAUGGCUCUGCUAUCACUUAUAGAUGGACCUGCGCCGUAUUAGCUAGUUGGUAAGGUAACGGCUUACCAAGGCAACGAUACGUAGCCGACCUGAGAGGGUGAUCGGCCACACUGGAACUGAGACACGGUCCAGACUCCUACGGGAGGCAGCAGUAGGGAAUCUUCCGCAAUGGGCGAAAGCCUGACGGAGCAACGCCGCGUGAGUGAUGAAGGUCUUCGGAUCGUAAAACUCUGUUAUUAGGGAAGAACAAACGUGUAAGUAACUGUGCACGUCUUGACGGUACCUAAUCAGAAAGCCACGGCUAACUACGUGCCAGCAGCCGCGGUAAUACGUAGGUGGCAAGCGUUAUCCGGAAUUAUUGGGCGUAAAGCGCGCGUAGGCGGUUUUUUAAGUCUGAUGUGAAAGCCCACGGCUCAACCGUGGAGGGUCAUUGGAAACUGGAAAACUUGAGUGCAGAAGACGAAAGUGGAAUUCCAUGUGUAGCGGUGAAAUGCGCAUAGAUAUGGAGGAACACCANUGGCGAAGGCGACUUUCUGGUCUGNCACUGACCCUGAUGUGCCACUUUCUGGGGAU
RNAcentral lists this ribosomal RNA (734 nucleotides) under Staphylococcus hominis. RNAcentral's name for it is "bacterial SSU rRNA". It matches the Rfam family "Bacterial small subunit ribosomal RNA", at positions 52 to 768 of the family's 1533-position model. The record is from RNAcentral. Lineage: Bacteria; Bacillati; Bacillota; Bacilli; Caryophanales; Staphylococcaceae.